CCUAUGAAAUCGGUUCUAUUUUUAAUUACGGAAACCGGUUUUUUCACAUAUAAAUACAAACCCUCCUCACUUUCUUCUACUUAAAAAACAAAAAAAAAAUCAUCUGCACAAAUAAAAAAAGAAAAAAGGAAAAAAAAAUAUAUUUGUAAAGAAUUGAAAGAAGAAAAAGAAUGGGAUCGCCAAAACUCCAAGUUGCUGCCUUCCUAAUCAUCUUCUCUCUCGUUAUCACCGUUCAAUCUGAGCACACGGAUGGAGCAUGCCAUUUCCGAGGACCUUGCAACAAACAUGCCGACUGCGUCAGGCAAUGCCACGGCCCCAACGAUCCUCCCUCGAUGUCGGGAUUCUGCGUCUCCGACCCCUCGGGAUCUCCCGGCUCGGGCUCCGUCUGCUGCUGCCUUUUCGACUGAUCCAUUCAAAACCGAAACCCUGAGUUCUGUAUUCCUUUGUUCCUUCAUUACUACUACUACCACCACCACCAAUGUUUCGUAUGUUGAGGUUGUAUCGUUUCGUGUCGGCGAAACCCUAAUAAAAGAUCAUCGGCUAAAACA
Molecule: long non-coding RNA, 548 nt
Organism: Tarenaya hassleriana
Lineage: Eukaryota; Viridiplantae; Streptophyta; Magnoliopsida; Brassicales; Cleomaceae
Exons: 2
Source: RefSeq, a predicted model, not a curated record